AAGCUCGUAGUUGAAUUUCGGGGUUAGUAGGUUGGUCAUGCCUCUGGUAUGUACUGGUCUCACCGAUUCCUCCUUCCUUAUGAACCGUAAUGCCAUUAAUUUGGUGUUGCGGGGAAUUUGGACUGUUACUUUGAAAAAAUUAGAGUGUUUAAAGCAAGCUAACGCUUGAAUACAUUAGCAUGGAAUAAUGAAAUAGGACGUUCGAUCCUAUUUUGUUGGUUUCUAGGAUUGACGUAAUGAUUAAUAGGGAUAGUUGGGGGCAUUAGUAUUCAAUUGUCAGAGGUGAAAUUCUUGGAUUUAUUGAAGACUAACUACUGCGAAAGCAUUUGCCAAGGAUGUUUUCAUUAAUCAAGAACGAAAGUUAGGGGAUCGAAGACGAUCAGAUACCGUCGUAGUCUUAACCAUAAACUAUGCCGACUAGGGAUCGGAUGAUGUUAAUUUUUUAAUGACUCAUUCGGCGCCUUACGGGAAACCAAAGUGUUUGGGUUCCGGGGGGAGUAUGGUCGCAAGGCUGAAACUUAAAGGAAUUGACGGAAGGGCACCACCAGGGGUGGAGCCUGCGGCUUAAUUUGACUCAACACGGGGAAA
Molecule: ribosomal RNA, 588 nt
Filed under: uncultured Glomus
Lineage: Eukaryota; Fungi; Glomeromycota; Glomeromycetes; Glomerales; Glomeraceae
Description: SSU rRNA
Rfam family: Eukaryotic small subunit ribosomal RNA
Source: RNAcentral